CAGAGAUGAAUUUGUGCCCGAAAGGGAAUCUGAACACAGGUGCUGCAUGGCUGUCGUCAGCUCGUGUCGUGAGAUGUUGGGUUAAGUCCCGCAACGAGCGCAACCCUUGUCAUUAAUUGCCAUCAUUUAGUUGGGCACUUUAAUGAGACUGCCGGUGAUAAACCGGAGGAAGGUGGGGGAUGACGUCAAGUCCUCAUGGCCCUUAUGGGUAGGGCUUCACACGUAAUACAAUGGCGCGUACAGAGGGUUGCCAACCCGCGAGGGGGAGCUAAUCUCAGAAAGCGCGUCGUAGUCCGGAUCGGAGUCUGCAACUCGACUCCGUGAAGUUGGAAUCGCUAGUAAUCGCGGAUCAGCAUGUCGCGGUGAAUACGUUCCCCGGGUCUUGUACACACCGCCCGUCACACCAUGGGAGC
This 413-nucleotide ribosomal RNA is filed under the name uncultured bacterium. RNAcentral's name for it is "bacterial SSU rRNA". It matches the Rfam family "Bacterial small subunit ribosomal RNA", at positions 1001 to 1411 of the family's 1533-position model. The record is from RNAcentral.